UGAUUAUUUAGAAAUCAAGUUUGGAAACAAUUUUCUGCACUUUAGAAAACAUAAUAGACAUUUAGUAUCAAUACCAUAAAAUAUGGAUACCCCUUUUAAACUUAUCGAUACCUAUUACGGUUUUAUGAUACUACACCGUGUUUUCUAAACAUAAAACAAAUUUUCCCCUACCUUUUUUCUCAUCCGUUUUUCAUUCCCAUAUUAUCAUUUUCAUCAAAAGGAUUACACAAGGUUUCUCAAGGAUUUCACCAUUUUAAAACACAUUUUGAGGUAAAAAAAAAAUUAUUUCGAAAUUUCAUUAAAAUGUUUGUUAAAUAGCUAUUUUGAAAUUGAGUUUUGAGAUGAUUUAUAACAUAUUUAUUGUGUUUUUAUGCAGGAGAUUACCAAAUUUUUUGCCCGUAUUAUUGAAAAUCUUGUUUUAAUCUCUUGCUCACCAAGUCUUUGUCAAAAUUUCCCAACGAAAUUUCUUAGUAAAAUUAGUGUGUUCUAGAAUUCUAGAUUAAAUUAUGCCUCUUAAGAAAUGUCUUAGCUUCGAUCCCUCUUAUGCUAGUGCCCCUAGUGGGUCUAACUUGUCCUUUGGCGAAUGUUUUCGUUCUCUGGGAGAACGAGAACGUUUUGAUAGAAACUUCAUCACUCAUCUAGUUAAUACCUCUAGAACAUUAGAUGUUGAUUGCUUAUAAUCAUUUAAUUUUAGGUAUCUUCCCCUUUUACGUAAGUGACAAUUUCUUGAUUUCUUUAGAAUAGUUCUCCCGAAAACCUUGUCCGAGCCUUUUAUAGUAACCAAAUGGUCGAAUAUGAUGAGUCCGACGACACUGUUAUUGCCAUUAAUUCCUAUCUUAUGAAUACAGAUAUUUACCUCACUCUAGAAGAUUUCAGAAAUUUUGUCAUUACCUCCCGGUUGUGUCUAAUGAAAAGGGUUCUUUUAAUCCCACCAAUUUGGGUCCAUCUAAUCUUGCUGUUAACUUAGAUAUGCAUGAUCAAUUAUUGCAUUUCAUUUAUCUCUUGGAUCUUUAAACCCAUAUCUAAGCAUAUAUCGUCAUUCGAAACAUCGAUUAUUGGUGGAUCGAUUGCUUUAAGUCAAACAGGUGUUCGGAUGUUGCUCUUCUCAUGUAUAACGACAUUACCAAAUCUAUUGGGAGAGACCUAGGUAGCUCUGUAACCUUACCAUCUGGGACCUGUCUUUUUUUUUUUUUUUCUUGUUUGGGCAUCAAAACUUGUGUCAAUACCCCUAUCUGAAGACAUCAACCUAUCGGUAUUGGGGCUCUUCAUCAUGCCAAGUACAAACAAAAUCCCUCUACUGGAGAAUGGGAGAAAGAAGGCCAAGCGGCGUGUCAUGAUGAUGAAGACCUUGGAGUUGAUCUUGAUGAUAUUCCACUUCCUGCCAAGAAGGCUCCUCCACCGGCAUCUUCAUCUGCUCAACCAUCUGCUCUGUCUCACUCUGACAACAUGUUUGUUGCCAUCCUUGGUGCUAUUACUUCCUUGAGUGAGGAGUUUAGAGGUUUUUGUACUUGUGUAGAUGAUGCUUUUGAUUGAGUAAAUAAUAAUGUUGGUAAUCUAGGCUCUAGGAUAAAGACUUUGGAGGAGCAAAUGGCUCAACUUCUUGCUCGCUUUCCUCCAGUGGAUCCUUCAUCAUCACCUAGGGAUGAUUAGUUUAGACCAUUCAUACGUUUGCAUCAUGCAUCUUUUAAUUUGUUAAUGUACUCUUCUAUUGUCCUACUUUAAUUUGGGA
RNAcentral lists this long non-coding RNA (1729 nucleotides) under Gossypium barbadense (sea-island cotton). Its description in RNAcentral is "long non-coding RNA (GBAR_LNC008430)". Lineage: Eukaryota; Viridiplantae; Streptophyta; Magnoliopsida; Malvales; Malvaceae. The record is from RNAcentral.